RNAcentral lists this transfer RNA (57 nucleotides) under Dipodomys ordii (Ord's kangaroo rat). It matches the Rfam family "tRNA", at positions 8 to 63 of the family's 71-position model. Rfam says of the family: Transfer RNA (tRNA) molecules are approximately 80 nucleotides in length. Their secondary structure includes four short double-helical elements and three loops (D, anti-codon, and T loops). The record is from Rfam by way of RNAcentral. Lineage: Eukaryota; Metazoa; Chordata; Mammalia; Rodentia; Heteromyidae.
UGGCUCAGUGGUAGAGCGCUUGCCUUGCGUGCAUGAAGCCUGGGUUCGAUUCCUCAG